RNAcentral lists this ribosomal RNA (292 nucleotides) under uncultured bacterium. RNAcentral's name for it is "partial 16S ribosomal RNA". The record is from RNAcentral.
GGACUACACGGGUAUCUAAUCCUGUUCGCUCCCCACGCUUUCGCUCCUCAGCGUCAGUUACUGCCCAGAGACCCGCCUUCGCCACCGGUGUUCCUCCUGAUAUCUGCGCAUUCCACCGCUACACCAGGAAUUCCAGUCUCCCCUGCAGUACUCCAGUCUGCCCGUAUCGCCCGCACGCCCACAAUUGAGUUGUGAGUUUUCACGAACAACGCGACAAACCACCUACGAGCUCUUUACGCCCAGUAAUUCCGGACAACGCUCGCACCCUACGUAUUACCGCGGCUGCUGGCAC